This 616-nucleotide ribosomal RNA is filed under the name Cortinarius infractus. RNAcentral's name for it is "eukaryotic LSU rRNA". It matches the Rfam family "Eukaryotic large subunit ribosomal RNA", at positions 1 to 615 of the family's 3401-position model. The record is from RNAcentral. Lineage: Eukaryota; Fungi; Basidiomycota; Agaricomycetes; Agaricales; Cortinariaceae.
UGUGACCUCAAAUCAGGUAGGACUACCCGCUGAACUUAAGCAUAUCAAUAAGCGGAGGAAAAGAAACUAACAAGGAUUCCCCUAGUAACUGCGAGUGAAGCGGGAAAAGCUCAAAUUUAAAAUCUGACAGUCUUUGGCUGUCCGAGUUGUAAUCUAGAGAAGUGUUAUCCGCGCUGGACCGUGUACAAGUCUCCUGGAAUGGAGCGUCAUAGAGGGUGAGAAUCCCGUCUUUGACACGGACUGCCAGGGCUUUGUGAUGCGCUCUCAAAGAGUCGAGUUGUUUGGGAAUGCAGCUCAAAAUGGGUGGUAAAUUCCAUCUAAAGCUAAAUAUUGGCGAGAGACCGAUAGCGAACAAGUACCGUGAGGGAAAGAUGAAAAGAACUUUGGAAAGAGAGUUAAACAGUACGUGAAAUUGCUGAAAGGGAAACGCUUGAAGUCAGUCGCGUUGGUCAGGGAUCAACCUUGCUUUUGCGGGGUGUACUUCCUGGUUGACGGGUCAGCAUCAAUUUUGAUCAUUGGAAAAAGAUCAGGGGAAUGUGGCAUCCUUGGAUGUGUUAUAGCCCUUGGUUGUAUACAAUGGUUGGGAUUGAGGAGCUCAGCACGCCGCAAGGCCGGG